Molecule: ribosomal RNA, 293 nt
Filed under: Actinomycetota bacterium
Lineage: Bacteria; Bacillati; Actinomycetota
Description: Actinobacteria bacterium partial 16S ribosomal RNA
Rfam family: Bacterial small subunit ribosomal RNA
Source: RNAcentral
UUCUAUGGAGAGUUUGAUCCUGGCUCAGGACGAACGCUGGCGGCGUGCUUUACACAUGCAAGUCGAGCGAUGAGAUCCCUUCGGGGAAGGAUUAGCGGCGAACGGGUGAGGAACACGUGAGGAAUCUGCCUUCAACACUGGGAUAACUCCGGGAAACCGGGGCUAAUACCGGAUACGAGACCUGCAGGCAUCUGCGGGUCUGGAAAGUUUUUCGGUUGAAGAUGACCUCGCGGCCUAUCAGCUUGUUGGUGAGGUAAUGGCUCACCAAGGCGACGACGGGUAGCCGGCCUGAG